GAGUUCAUUCGACUUUCCACUCUUAUCAUUACUACCAUUCGGUGCAGCCAUCGGUGCCUCCCCGUGAUCUCCAGUGCUCUUCUCCUUUUGGUCGCUAAGCUUAUUGCCAACGCCUUGAUUUCCAGGUUCAAUACUGUCACAUAUGGGAUCAUAUUGCUUAACAUGAUCACUGGCCGGAUUAGAACUGUGAGCAGCAUAAAGUUGGGGAAGCUGAUGUCCAUUGGCAAGUAGUUGAGCUAGAGAAACUGAAAGAUUGGUAAGCGUAGCGAGUUGUUCACCACUGACGAUAUUCU
RNAcentral lists this long non-coding RNA (293 nucleotides) under Linum usitatissimum (flax). Its description in RNAcentral is "long non-coding RNA (LUSI_LNC000875)". The record is from RNAcentral. Lineage: Eukaryota; Viridiplantae; Streptophyta; Magnoliopsida; Malpighiales; Linaceae.